AUUGAACGCUGGCGGCAUGCCUUACACAUGCAAGUCGAACGGUAACAGGUCUUCGGAUGCUGACGAGUGGCGAACGGGUGAGUAAUACAUCGGAACGUGUCUAGUAGUGGGGGAUAACUACUCGAAAGAGUGGCUAAUACCGCAUGAGAUCUACGGAUGAAAGCAGGGGAUCGCAAGACCUUGUGCUACUAGAGCGGCCGAUGGCAGAUUAGGUAGUUGGUGGGAUAAAAGCUUACCAAGCCGACGAUCUGUAGCUGGUCUAAAAGGACGAUCAGCCACACUGGGACUGAGACAGUGCCCAGACUCCUACGGGAGGCAGUAGUGGGGAAUUUUGGACAAUGGGCGAAAGCCUGAUCCAGCAAUGCGGAGUGCAGGAUGAAGGCCUUCGGGUUGUAAACUGCUUUUGUACGGAACGAAAAGCCCCGGGUUAAUACCCUGGGGUCAUGACGGUACCGUAAGAAUAAGCACCGGCUAACUACGUGCCAGCCGCCGCCGUAA
RNAcentral lists this ribosomal RNA (498 nucleotides) under uncultured bacterium. RNAcentral describes it as "partial 16S ribosomal RNA". It matches the Rfam family "Bacterial small subunit ribosomal RNA", at positions 30 to 523 of the family's 1533-position model. The record is from RNAcentral.